AGAGUAUAAGAAGAGAGAGGUGGUGGUGGUGGUGGUACUCUAACACAUCGAGAAAGAAUGGAGGAAGAAGGUGAAAUAUACGACGGCGUUAGAGCUGAAUUCCCUCUUUCAUUCGGUAAACAAUCCAAAUCUCAAACCCCUCUCGAAACCAUUCACAACGCUACUCGCCGAACUUCUUCUUCUUCUGCUCUUCCCAAUUCCAAAACCCCCAACGAUUUUCCUUCCAUUUCUUCUUCUUCCAAAGAAUGGCUUCAUUCCGUUCGUUCCUCCAAAAACCCUACCCCUCCACCUCCCCUCCACGACGACGACUCCCUCGUCGGACCUCCUCCACCGCCACCACAUAAUGAGGAGGAGGAUGAUGAUGGCGAGAUGAUUGGCCCCCCUCCGCCACCACCUGGUUCCAAUUUGGAUGAUUCCGAUGACGAAGACGACGAUUCGGAUGAAGACCAACCGAGUAACCGCUUUCGUAUUCCUCUUAGUAACGAGAUUGUGCUCAAGGGACAUACUAAGGUUGUGUCGGCUCUUGCUGUGGAUCACACCGGUUCCAGAGUACUAUCUGGAAGCUACGACUAUAUGGUUCGUAUGUAUGAUUUUCAAGGGAUGAAUUCUCGUUUACAAUCGUUUCGACAAAUUGAGCCGUCUGAAGGGCAUCAAAUUCGCAAUUUAAGCUGGAGUCCAACUGCCGAUCGCUUUUUGUGUGUGACCGGAUCAGCUCAAGCUAAGAUUUAUGAUCGUGAUGGCCUCACUCUGGGUGAGUUUGUAAAGGGAGACAUGUAUAUUCGUGAUUUAAAGAAUACCAAGGGUCAUAUAACUGGAUUGACAUGUGGAGAGUGGCACCCAAAAACUAAGGAGACUAUUUUAACAUCAUCAGAGGAUGGGUCGCUCCGCAUAUGGGAUGUAAAUGACUUCACAACUCAAAAGCAGGUCAUUAAACCAAAGCUCGCGAGACCUGGAAGAGUUCCUGUCACCACAUGUGCAUGGGAUCAUGAUGGUAAAUGCAUUACUGGUGGUAUAGGAGAUGGUUCUAUACAGAUUUGGAGUAUUAAACCCGGAUGGGGGAGUAGGCCUGAUAUAUAUAUUGAAAAAUGUCAUGAGGAUGAUAUUACUAGUCUGAAAUUUUCUUCUGAUGGGAGAACCUUAUUGUCAAGGAGCUCUGAUGAUUCAUUGAAGGUUUGGGAUCUGCGCAAAACAAAGGAAGCAUUAAAGGUAUUUGAAGAGUUGCCAAAUCACUACGGACAAACAAAUAUUGGCUUCAGUCCUGAUGAGCAACUAUUUUUUACUGGAACAUCUGUAGAAAGGGAUAGCGCAACAGGAGGUUUAUUGUGCUUCUUUGAUAGACUAAAUCUUGAGCUUGUUUCAAAAGUUGGCAUAUCACCCACUUGCAGUGUUGUUCAGUGUUCUUGGCAUCCUAAACUGAAUCAGAUCUUUGCAACUGUUGGUGAUAAAAGCCAAGGAGGGACUCACAUACUAUAUGAUCCAACCAUCAGUGAGAGAGGAGCUCUUGUUUGUGUUGCACGUGCACCAAGGAAAAAAUCAAUGGAUGACUUUGAGGCAAAUCCUGUCAUUCACAAUCCUCAUGCUUUACCUCUAUUUAGAGAUCAGCCAAGCCGCAAGCGUCAGCGAGAGAAGGUAUUAAAGGAUCCAUUGAAGUCCCAUAAGCCUGAACUACCUAUGACAGGACCUGGCUUUGGCGGACGAGUUGGUACAAGUCAAGGAAGCUUACUGACCCAAUAUCUUCUAAAGAAAGGUGGUAUGAUUAAGGAGACAUGGAUGGAUGAAGAUCCAAGGGAAGCUAUCCUAAAAUAUGCUGAUGUUGCAGCUAAAGAACCAAAGUUUAUAGCUCCAGCAUAUGCCGAAACUCAACCCGAGCCAUUGUUUGCAAAGUCAGAUUCUGAGGAUGAAGAGAAAUGAGUGUAUCAUGAAAUUAUCAUUGAUGGUAUCAUUGCAGAAGGGGCAGCAGACAACAGUGAUUCAGAACUCAGAAACUGUUCCUUUUUCCAACAUGCAGGGAGGCAUCCUCCUCGGCAAAGCUUCAUUAAUACAGCUGGAAUGAUGUUGAACUUGAAUUUGGCAUGGUAUGGACAUGACUGCUAUGGUGAUGAAACUAAAUUGUUGGUAUCAGAAACAAUCCUUAGAAAGCACGUUUCAGAAGCCGGAGAUUUGUUUUACAGCUAGCAAUAGAUUAGACACUUACUUGACAACAAUCAUAAAAGAAUGCCUCAACUUUUCAAAUAUUUCUAGCAAGAAGAGCAAUCCAUUGGAUUUUGAUGUUCAGGUUCAAUAUAUAGGAAAUGCACAUUAUUAAAUGAAAAAAUCAGCGUGUUUCACUAUUUGAUUAAUUAUUAAUUAUUAGUAAUAAGUUUGUUUGAUCAAAA
Molecule: RNA transcript, 2375 nt
Organism: Trifolium pratense (red clover)
Lineage: Eukaryota; Viridiplantae; Streptophyta; Magnoliopsida; Fabales; Fabaceae
Gene name: WD repeat-containing protein 70
Exons: 9
Source: RefSeq, a predicted model, not a curated record